AAAUUUUAGCAUGGGCUAAGUAAGAACCAUGAUUAUUUACCUAAAACAAGUUAAAAUUUCACAAUUUGACAUAAUAUACUAACCUUUUUAAUGACUCAAGUGACCAAAAAUUCUUCCCUUCCUUUGUUUCUUCUAUUCGGCCAUGUUGAACAACAAAGAAAGAAUUUUGUUUUUCCUCCCCUUUCUCUAGUCACGGCAAUGGGGAGUAAAGGGGGAGACAACUUUGGUUUCUCCUCUCACUCACCUCAUGUUUUAUCAUUCUUAAUAUUUUCUCUUUUUUUUUCUUUCUCCAUUUCUUAAUUACUAACUUUAUUUUAUUGUUUCCUCCCAUGAUGCACCAACACAACAUGUCUAUGACAUGUUUUUAGCCAUAACAUCUUGUCCACCCAUGCUCUUUAUUUUAUUAAUCCUUACAUAAUGCACUACCCCAACAUGUUUAUGACAUGUUUUUAGCCAUAACAUCUUGUCCACCUAUGCUCAUGGCCGGCCACUACAUAUUAGGGGGGGAAAAUUGACAUGCAAGUCCUCCAUUUUGAUUACAUGCACUAUUAGGUCCUUGUAGAUUAGCCUAUCACAUUUCAAAAAUGUCAUUUUGACUAAAUUCACAUGCAAUUUACUAAAUCGAAGCCUAAAACUUUCACACCUUCAUAAUCACAUAUUUUAGACAAUAAAUAUCACAUUCAAAUAAUUUGGUGACUCGGUUUAGCGGUCCUGAAACCGCUUUCCGACUAGGGUCAUUUUAGGGCUGUCACAAGCACUCCACGACUCUAGCAUAGUAGGACAUUUGACCAAAGGGACUCUACCAAGCCCCUCCUCUACAUAGGCUCCCACUUUCCCCAAAGAAGGUUAAUACUCUUUACCUAUUCUGAAACUCGACC
RNAcentral lists this long non-coding RNA (878 nucleotides) under Gossypium barbadense (sea-island cotton). RNAcentral's name for it is "long non-coding RNA (GBAR_LNC012820)". The record is from RNAcentral. Lineage: Eukaryota; Viridiplantae; Streptophyta; Magnoliopsida; Malvales; Malvaceae.